GACGAACGCUGGCGGCAUGCCUAAUACAUGCAAGUCGAGCGAACAGAUGAAGUGCUUGCACUUCUGACGUUAGCGGCGAACGGGUGAGUAACACGUAAGGAAUCUACCUAUAAGCGGGGGAUAACAUUCGGAAACGGGUGCUAAUACCGCAUAAUAUCUUCUUCCGCAUGGAAGAAGAUUGAAAGACGGCUCUGCUGUCACUUAUAGAUGACCUUGCGGUGCAUUAGUUAGUUGGUGGGGUAAUGGCCUACCAAGACGAUGAUGCAUAGCCGACCUGAGAGGGUGAUCGGCCACAUUGGGACUGAGACACGGCCCAAACUCCUACGGGAGGCAGCAGUAGGGAAUCUUCCGCAAUGGGCGAAAGCCUGACGGAGCAAUGCCGCGUGAGUGAAGAAGGCCUUCGGGUCGUAAAACUCUGUUAUAAGGGAAGAACAAAUUGUAGAGUAACUGCUACAGUCUUGACGGUAUCUUAUCAGAAAGCCACGGCUAACUACGUGCCAGCCGCCGCAGUAA
This 513-nucleotide ribosomal RNA is filed under the name uncultured bacterium. RNAcentral's name for it is "partial 16S ribosomal RNA". It matches the Rfam family "Bacterial small subunit ribosomal RNA", at positions 28 to 523 of the family's 1533-position model. The record is from RNAcentral.